UUUUUAUGAGGGCCAUGGCUUUCUCUCUUCACACAGGGGGAAUGUAACAUCCCCAAAUCCCCCAAACUCCAGCUAUCCCAGCAUUUCCAGUGCUGGGCACUAGCUUUCCACAUAACUUUAGAAGCGUUGACAUCCAUGCCUAGACUUGCCGGUACAAAGCACCUUGCAUAUUUCUACAUUGACAGGACCUUUUCCUCCUGUUGCUUUAUUGGAGGAAGAUGCACGGAAGGAGAGUUUUCUCUACAGCUAAACUCUCGCAUACCCAACAGAAAUCCUGACCUGAAACAUAUUUUCACAAGAUAAUGUGGAGCAUGAGAACCCAGAUGCAUCUCUACACUGCAUACAAAGAGUCUGGGAUACGUUGGUUUGCUUCGGAGAAUCAAAAAGACUGGAUGCAGACUGUGGAGAAAACGAAGGUGGGAUCAAGGCACCAACCUGCUGCCUCAGCUGGCAGGGUCACUUGUGUGUUCCAGGCUUGAGAUUCUUUGUAUAGCUGCAGGUUAGUGAUUGCUGAGCCGGUUUAAGUAGGAUUGUUGCAGAGGUGACCUUUCCAGUCUCCUACAAUUUAUAUCAUUUACUGGCAAUUGGAAAAACAGCUACAAUAAUAUCAGCUACCCGAGAGGCUAGUCCUUCUGCUGGGCCUCCUGGCCAGACAACAGACAUCUCAGUAGAUCUUAGGCCAAAAAAAAAGCGUGCAAGUAGAUAUAGAAAGGGGUAAAAACAAAAUGUCCUGUAAAAGUUCUUACCCGUAUAAUCAAAGGUAGAAAGAACUCUUUAGAUUUGUUGGUAUAAGACAUUACAUAAGGCAAUAUGUUUACAUGAGGCUCAGCCAAAAGCAGGGAAUUAGGAAAAAAAAAUUGGAAUAGGGAUUCCUUCUCCUUCUUUAUUUCAAAACUUGUGUAAAUAAUGCCAACGAGCUUUUGUUCCUGUGCCAGAAAAACAAGGGCAUGAAUGAUUCAGUUGGUCAGUAUCACCUUGUACAAAAUAGGGUGCCUUCCUCCUGACAAAAUCAAAACGUGUUCUAAGUAGAUACUGGUUUUGUGAUUGAACAGUCCCUUCUGAGGGUAAAAUUGAAAAGCUUAUUUUAUCCAUUUUAAUAAAAUGGUGCUUUAAAUAAAGUUCA
This 1123-nucleotide long non-coding RNA is filed under the name Felis catus (domestic cat). Its description in RNAcentral is "lncRNA (ENSFCAG00000041237.2)". Lineage: Eukaryota; Metazoa; Chordata; Mammalia; Carnivora; Felidae. The record is from RNAcentral.